GAGGCUGCAAAAGGAAGAGCCCCAACCUGGCGCAGCACACAUCUGCUCCAAACCACUUCCUUUCCCUUUAAUCUAGUUUUGCUCCGGUUUUUAAUUCCUCCCCCCACCCUGACACCCCCGACCCAGAAGAGGGAAGAGGCGGUACGCGGACCUCUCACUGUUGUGGUGUUUCCCGUUGCGGAGGACGCGCAGGCUCAGCGGCCAUGGCGGCACGCGGGAUCCUCCUGGACCGGGGCAGGAGCCUGCGUCCCCUGCAUCCGCAGGCGGAUUCUCAACCACUGCGCCACCAGGGAAGCCCUCCUUUCACCUUUGACUGCUGCUGAGUGAUCAAAUUAUAUCUUCAUCCCUGAAUUCCAGAGUAGGAGGAGAGCUGAUCUAAAUUAUUCAAAAACAGUUACUUGUAACAUUACACAAAAAUUUUAGGUAAAGAUUGGCCUGAAGCACUUUCUUGAGCUGUUUUGCAGAAUUCAAACCCCCGUCAAGCGCUCAUCAGAUCAACUGGAAUCUUAAGGGAUGAUGAUGUUGACAUCUUCUGACCCUCUUGGCUUUAAUCAACUAAAGCUUGAACUCUGUUGACCUUUGUCCCAAUUCUAUGCUGACGUCUCUGCUCAGACCCCUUCAUGAAUAUGCAUGUACCCUUAGCUUAAACUCUUACCCAAUUUUGCUGUUUGGGGAGAUACUGCUUUGGGAAAGAUCCCUAGUGUUCUUCUUACUUGCUGCAAGUAAUAAAUCCCUCUUUCUCCCUAUCUUUGGCCUGGGUGUGUCUUUUGGCUCAACACCCACUAAGAGGCGAACCCAGUUUUCAGGUAACAGGAGGAAUGACACUAGUAAUAUGUCAGCAGUGGUUAUUUUUGCAUGGCAAUAUUAAGGGAGAUUUAAGUAAGUUCUUUUUUGUUUUGUGUAUUUCGGGGUUUUCCAAGCUCUCUGUAUUGAGUCCAUAUUAUUUGCAUUAUUAGAAAAAAUAUUUAAAAUGUACACUUGUAUAUUACUGUAGUACAAACGGAAGAGAUGGAGAAGGGUUGAAAAGGUGUUUUGGAUAUUUUUAAACGAGUAUUGUCAUAAACUGAAAUAUAGCAAUAAAUACAUGUACUCAAAUAUUUAAGCCAGUUGAUAGCUCUGUCUGGGAAAUUAUGAGGCCGAGGAACAAAUAGCACAGCAGUUAGUGGGCACUAUGCCCUUUUCCCCAAAUCUUUUUCUGAUCUCCUUUCAAAAGGAGCCCUCCCUCAAUAUUAGUUUUUAGAAAGGUGUAGGAUUCUGAAUUUUCUUUUUGGCCUCAUGGCUUGUGGGAUGUUAGUCUGGGCAGUGAGAGCACAGAGUCCUAACCACUGGACUGCCAGGGAAUUCCCCAGGAUUCUGAUUUUUAUUACCCCUUAGAUUGCAUCAAGCUCCAGGCAGCUAUACCAAAAAAACCCUGAGAUAGUGUGGAUUCAGAUAUGAAAGGACUAGCUAUUGGCUCCCACUCUCAGAAGCCAACUCAACCCCAA
This is a long non-coding RNA of Physeter macrocephalus (sperm whale), 1484 nucleotides long. RefSeq lists it as uncharacterized. Lineage: Eukaryota; Metazoa; Chordata; Mammalia; Artiodactyla; Physeteridae. The transcript is spliced from 3 exons. The record is from RefSeq and is a predicted model, not a curated record.